RNAcentral lists this ribosomal RNA (499 nucleotides) under uncultured bacterium. RNAcentral's name for it is "partial 16S ribosomal RNA". It matches the Rfam family "Bacterial small subunit ribosomal RNA", at positions 28 to 507 of the family's 1533-position model. The record is from RNAcentral.
GACGAACGCUGGCGGCGUGCCUAAUACAUGCAAGUCGAGCGGACUUUCAAGAAGCUUGCUUUUUGAAAGUUAGCGGCGGACGGGUGAGUAACACGUGGGCAACCUGCCUGCAAGACGGGGAUAACUCCGGGAAACCGGGGCUAAUACCGGAUAAUAUCUUCCUUCGCAUGAAGGAAGGUUGAAAGGCGGCGCAAGCUGCCGCUUGCAGAUGGGCCCGCGGCGCAUUAGCUAGUUGGUGAGGUAACGGCUCACCAAGGCGACGAUGCGUAGCCGACCUGAGAGGGUGAUCGGCCACACUGGGACUGAGACACGGCCCAGACUCCUACGGGAGGCAGCAGUAGGGAAUCUUCCGCAAUGGACGAAAGUCUGACGGAGCAACGCCGCGUGAGCGAAGAAGGGCUUCGGAUCGUAAAGCUCGGUUGUCAGGGAAGAACAAGUACCGUUCGAACAGGGCGGUACCUUGACGGUACCUGACCAGAAAGCCACGGCUAACUACGUG